AACACUGUUAACCUGCGGUACCUGCGGAAGGAUCAUUACAGAGUUAUCCAACUCCCAAACCCAUGUGAACUUAUCUCUUUGUUGCCUCGGCGCAAGCUACCCGGGACCCCGCGCCCCGGGCGGCCCGCCGGCGGACAAACCAAAACUCUUGUUAUCUUAGUUGAUUCUCUGAGCGUCUUAUUUAAUAAGUCAAAACUUUCAACAAUGGAUCU
RNAcentral lists this unclassified non-coding RNA (212 nucleotides) under soil metagenome. RNAcentral's name for it is "partial contains 5.8S ribosomal RNA, internal transcribed spacer 2, and large subunit ribosomal RNA". The record is from RNAcentral.